UUGACCUCGGAUCAGGUAGGGCUACCCGCUGAACUUAAGCAUAUCAAUAAGCGGAGGAA
Molecule: ribosomal RNA, 59 nt
Filed under: Penicillium sp. FKI-3389
Lineage: Eukaryota; Fungi; Ascomycota; Eurotiomycetes; Eurotiales; Aspergillaceae
Also listed under: 1 other name
Description: partial 28S ribosomal RNA
Rfam family: Eukaryotic large subunit ribosomal RNA
Source: RNAcentral